This 516-nucleotide small RNA is filed under the name Pan troglodytes (chimpanzee). RNAcentral describes it as "retained intron". The record is from RNAcentral. Lineage: Eukaryota; Metazoa; Chordata; Mammalia; Primates; Hominidae.
UCUUUCCUCAGUUCUCACUAACAAGAAAGCACUCCUUUUGUUUUCAGCUCUGGAGCACAGACUUUAACACUAAGCAAGAUUGUGCCACAUAUAUGCAACUUACUUGGAGAUCCAAACAGCCAGGUUCGAGAUGCAGCAAUAAACAGCUUAGUGGAAAUUUACAGACAUGUAGGAGAACGUGUGAGGGCAGAUCUCAGUAAAAAAGGAUUGCCACAGUCCCGGUUGAAUGUAAUUUUUACAAAAUUUGAUGAAGUCCAGAAAUCUGGAAACAUGAUACAAUCUGCAAAUGAUAAAAAUUUCGACGAUGAAGAUUCUGUGGAUGGUAACAGACCUUCCUCUGCUAGUUCUACAUCAUCCAAGGCUCCACCAAGUUCUCGGAGAAACGUUGGAAUGGGAACCACCCGCCGGCUUGGUUCAUCCACCCUUGGAUCCAAGUCUUCAGCUGCAAAAGAAGGAGCUGGUGCUGUUGAUGAAGAGGAUUUUAUUAAAGCAUUUGAUGAUGUACCUGUAGUACAG